Molecule: ribosomal RNA, 404 nt
Filed under: uncultured bacterium
Lineage: Bacteria
Description: bacterial SSU rRNA
Rfam family: Bacterial small subunit ribosomal RNA
Source: RNAcentral
GGGGAAUAUUGGGCAAUGGGCGCAAGCCUGACCCAGCAACGCCGCGUGAGGGAAGAAGGUUUUCGGAUUGUAAACCUCUGUCGCAGGGGACGAAGGAAGUGACGGUACCCUGUAAGAAAGCCCUGGCUAACUACGUGCCAGCAGCCGCGGUAACACGUAGGGGGCGAGCGUUGUCCGGAAUUACUGGGCGUAAAGGGAGCGUAGGCGGUCGAUUAAGUUAGAUGUGAAACCCCCGGGCUUAACUUGGGGACUGCAUCUAAUACUGGUUGACUUAGAGUACAGGAGAGGGAAGCGGAAUUCCUAGUGUAGCGGUGAAAUGCGUAGAUAUUAGGAGGAACACCAGUGGCGAAGGCGGCUUUCUGGACUGACACUGACGCUGAGGCUCGAAAGCGUGGGGAGCAAAC